UACGUAGGUGGCAAGCGUUGUCCGGAUUUACUGGGCGUAAAGAGCGCGCAGGCGGUCGUCCAAGUCGCGUGUGAAAGCCCCCGGCUCAACUGGGGAGGGUCACGCGAUACUGGUCGACUCGAAGGCAGGAGAGGGUAGUGGAAUUCCCGGUGUAGUGGUGAAAUUCGUAGAUAUCGGGAGGAACACCGGUGGCGAAGGCGGCGACCUGGGUCGAGACUGACGCUGAGGCGCGAAAGCGUGGGGAGCAAACAGG
RNAcentral lists this ribosomal RNA (253 nucleotides) under uncultured bacterium. RNAcentral describes it as "partial 16S ribosomal RNA". It matches the Rfam family "Bacterial small subunit ribosomal RNA", at positions 524 to 776 of the family's 1533-position model. The record is from RNAcentral.